GCAUUGGUGGUUCAGUGGUAGAAUUCUCGCCCUCCAUGUGGGAGAUCUGGGUUUGAAUCCAGGCCAAUGCG
RNAcentral lists this transfer RNA (71 nucleotides) under Loxodonta africana (African savanna elephant). It matches the Rfam family "tRNA". Rfam says of the family: Transfer RNA (tRNA) molecules are approximately 80 nucleotides in length. Their secondary structure includes four short double-helical elements and three loops (D, anti-codon, and T loops). The record is from Rfam by way of RNAcentral. Lineage: Eukaryota; Metazoa; Chordata; Mammalia; Proboscidea; Elephantidae.